This 77-nucleotide transfer RNA is filed under the name Chloroflexia bacterium. RNAcentral describes it as "tRNA-Arg". It matches the Rfam family "tRNA". From Rfam's summary of the family: Transfer RNA (tRNA) molecules are approximately 80 nucleotides in length. The record is from RNAcentral. Lineage: Bacteria; Bacillati; Chloroflexota; Chloroflexia.
GUACCCGUAGUUCAGUCGGAUAGAACAUCUGGUUGCGGACCAGAAGGUCGGGGGUUCGAGUCCCUCCGGGUACGCCA